UACGAAGGGGGCUAGCGUUGCUCGGAAUCACUGGGCGUAAAGGGUGCGUAGGCGGGUCUUUAAGUCAGGGGUGAAAUCCUGGAGCUCAACUCCAGAACUGCCUUUGAUACUGAGGAUCUUGAGUCCGGGAGAGGUGAGUGGAACUGCGAGUGUAGAGGUGAAAUUUGUAGAUAUUCGCAAGAACACCAGUGGCGAAGGCGGCUCACUGGCCCGGUACUGACGCUGAGGCACGAAAGCGUGGGGAGCAAACAGG
This 253-nucleotide ribosomal RNA is filed under the name uncultured bacterium. RNAcentral's name for it is "partial 16S ribosomal RNA". It matches the Rfam family "Bacterial small subunit ribosomal RNA", at positions 524 to 776 of the family's 1533-position model. The record is from RNAcentral.